CAGUGGCAGACGGCUGAGUAAUGCGUAGGAAUCUUCCCGAAGCUGGGGCAUAGCCACGAGAAAUCGUGGGUAAUUCCCCAUAGUAUCCACUUUUUGUGGAUUAAAGGGCGUAACUGCUCGGCUACGGAUGAGCCUGCGUCCUAUCAGGUAGUUGGUGGGGUAAUGGCCUACCAAGCCAAUGACGGGUAGCUGGCCUCAUGAGGGUGGUCAGCCAGAGGGGGACUGCGACACGGCCCCCACUCCUACGGGAGGCAGCAAUUAGGAAUAGUCGGCAAUGGGCGAAGGCCUGACCGCGCAAUACCGCGUGUAGGAAGACGCUCGAAAGAGUGUAAACUACUGUGGUAGGGGAAGAAGAUCCGAGUUUACGGAUUUGACGGUACCCUACUAGAAAGAGGCCGCUAACUUCGUGCCAGAAGCGUCGGUAAUACGAGGGCCUCAAGCGUUAUCCGGUGUUACUGGGCGUAAAGAGUCGUGUAGGCGGUUUCGUAAGUUAUCUUUCAAAUAUCUCGGCUCAACCGAGACAAAGGAGAUAAUACUGCAGGACUAGAGUUUUCUCAAGGGAGAAUGGAACUAAGGGAGGAGUAGUGAAAUGCGUUGAUACCCUUAGGAACUCCAGUGGCGAAGGCGAUUCUCUGGGAGGAGACUGACGCUGAGACACGAAAGCUAGGGUAGCGAAGCAGAUUAGAGACCUGCGUAGUCCUAGCCGUAAACG
RNAcentral lists this ribosomal RNA (712 nucleotides) under uncultured organism. RNAcentral's name for it is "bacterial SSU rRNA". It matches the Rfam family "Bacterial small subunit ribosomal RNA", at positions 93 to 808 of the family's 1533-position model. The record is from RNAcentral.